UGUGUGUGUGUGUGUGUGUGUGUGUGUGUGUGUGUGUGUGUGUGUGUGUGUGUUUUACACACACACACACACACACACACACACACACACAGUCAAAACAAAA
Small nucleolar RNA from Portunus trituberculatus (swimming crab), 103 nucleotides. RefSeq annotates it as small nucleolar RNA SNORA23. The record is from RefSeq and is a predicted model, not a curated record. Lineage: Eukaryota; Metazoa; Arthropoda; Malacostraca; Decapoda; Portunidae. The transcript has a single exon.